CCCCGCCCCGCCCCGCCCCGCGCCGCCUCUCUAGUUUGUUCGCCCGGCGCAGGUCGCCCUCCUCUUUGUCAGCUGGAAUCGCGCGGGCGGACGCGCCACUACUUUGUAGCGGGUUUCGGGGGGGCCACGCGUGCGGCGACAGGAACCCAACCCCAGCCGACUUUGAGCUCAGGAGUUCGUCUCUUACGUCUGCGGAAGUGCAGCUGCCUCAGUUCUUAGCACAGGUUGACAACUACAGGUACAAGCCAUUGAAGCUGGAAUGUCCUGUUGCUGGUAUUUCAGUUGACUUAAGCCAACUAUCCCUUCAGUUACAAUAGGAAAGUGCCUCUAAUAAGGCCAAAUAUGCGUACUAACUUGUAGCAACCACGUGUCCGUGCAGUGCCACAGGAGUUAGAGCAGUGGGACAACGCUGGUGGCAACAGGGCAAUGUAGCAGGUGCUUCAUGUUCACCUUUUCAGCCUUUUUCAUUUAAUUGUCACAACUCAGAGGUGGAUUCUGUUAGGGACAAGCUGCCCCAGGACCACCCCGCCCCCGCCAACUCAAUGCAGCUGACCCUUAACCUGAAUACUCUGCAGCUGCAUUCCUGAACCCUUAUCUAGGUGCCACAGCAAGGUCCCCAGACUUGCUACACCGAAGCCCUCCGGGUGGCACGGGGGAGGUCAUGAGAAACGUGGAUAAACCUAAGUUACACCCCCUUGUAAAUUCCUGUUUUCACAAGAUAAUAUAUUGUAAGCCGGCCACGAGAUGAAAUGUGGUAGUUAAUCAACUAACAACCCCCCGAAUCUCUCUCCCCCAUAUAAACCCCUCAUUUUGUAAGCUCAGGGCUGCCACCUCUGACUGGUGGAGAAGCCCGGCAGGUUAAUAAACUUACUUGCCUGACCUUGGGUCUCUUGUCUUUUCUCUCUGCUAACCUUACAGAUUCUAUUCUCCCAUUUCAUAGGUAAAGAAAUGGAUUAGGGGUAACUCAAGUUUCAUCACAUUGUUUCAGCAAAACCACCAUUUGACUGGACCAUGAUGUACUUGAGGCUAUUCGUGGGCUCAUGAAUAUUCAAGUAAUUCAAGCUUUCCUUUAAUGAAUGCUGUUAGAGCUGAAGCAUAGGAUAUGAAGGUCAAACCUCAGUCACUUGAAAAUAUUGUAUAUAUUAUUGUUCAUACCCUUUGAAACUUCUCAAACUAUAGAAUCUCAUUCUCAUGAUGAAAGUUAGGAUCAAACUGAACCCUAUUUGCCCUUUAUUAUAAAUCCUAGAGAUGAACAGUUUAUAUAUAAAAAUCCAUUUAAAAGUGAAAUUUAGAUUCUAUAAAGAACAAAGUAUUGUGAGAUUCUGAACGUAAUCAGGUCCUCACUUUUUGGUGGGUGGGAAGAAUGAAAGAGAACAGUAUAUUUUUAUUUAAUACUUAAACUGCCCACAAUUCUUCAGUUUUUUCUUUCUUAAUUGAAUCCCUGUUUCCAACAUCUGAGCUCCAUCUCCCACUCUCAAAAGAAGUUUCAUUAUUACAAGUUAAAUAUUUCUGCCCAAGUAUGGCCAAUCCCAGACUACUUUUGAGAUGUGUCCAUACAGAAUAACAAUUGCUAGCUCCCUGUUGAAGGUUUAACUGCUUAGCCUGCAGGUAACCUGAUGAGCUCACGUUGAAGAAAUUAAGGUAGAAAUUCUCCUACAGUUAGUUCCUUACCGUGAGAUAACAGUUUGUUCCUCCUAAUAAACUUCUAGUUCCAUCCUCUUUUUUUUUUUUUGGUCAUAUCCAGCUCUACAAGUUUCACGCUGUUUAAAUCACAUACCUACAAAAACCUGUUUAAAAUGUUUGGAUGCUCAGCUUGUUUCAGCCUGAAAUUUCUCCAAGACCAAUGAAACAAAACAGUAUUGUGCCCUGAAUACACACCCAAGCUGCAGGCUCCUGCUUAGCUCUGUUUUGCUUUGGCCUCCAUUAGAUCUUCAGCCACAAGAGCAGGAGAUAACAGUCUUCCUAGAAGCUUUCAUCAGCUGCAAGUUUUCUUACAGAAUGAAACUUUUCUGCUAUUUUCUCACAGUUAAUUUGCUAUUUGAGAAAACCGAAUUUCUGGCUCUCAGCAUUUAACUGGAUUCUGUGGGUGACUGGAUGACUGCUUUGCACAUCACCACGGGUGUCAUCCCUACCUUCUUUAAACCUUUUGUGCCAGUCAAAAAUUCUUGCUCUUGAUAUGUCAUCACCAGAAACUACUUUUUUUUUUUUUUCUCUUUUGUGACAGGGUCUUCCUCUGUCACCCAGGCUGGAUGGAGUCUAGUGGAACAAUCAUAGUUCACUGCACCUUGAUACCCUGUGCUCAAGUGAUCCUCCCAUCUCAGCCUCCUGAGUAGGUGGGACCACAGGUGUGCACCUGUGGCUAAUGGCUAAUUUAGUUAUUGUUUUUUAUAGAGAUGGGGGGGGUCUCCCUAUGUUGUCCAGGCCUGUCUUGAACUCACGGGCUCAAGUGAUCCUCUUGCCUCAGCCUCCCAAAGUUCUGGGAUUACAGGUGUGAGCCACUGGACCCAGCCAGAAACUACUUUUAACAGUUCUAAUUGCCACUUGUCUUGGCUGUAUAUUCAGAAAGAGCCAGUUUGGAAUUAGGGUUUUUUGAUUGCUAUUGAUAAGAAGGUUCAAAUGCAAUAGUCUAUUUCAAGUGUCUCACUGACAUAUUCAACUUUACACAAAGUUUAAUAUGAAUUCUUUGCUCUAAUAGUCACCAGUUUUAGGGUCAACAAAAAAAUAAUUCUAUUCACAUCUAAGAAACUUAGCUGGUAACCUUAAAAGCUCUGUUGUAGCCAGCAGAAACAUAACCUAUUCCAGCAAUUUCACAAACUACACAAAGAAAAAUUGGUAAAUAUUUCAACAGAUGAGUACAAAUAAUCUUUGGAGAAGGUGAUAAAGAUUUCAGUGCUAUAUCAUCUUAGCCUUCUGUUUUCCCACCUACAAAAGGGUCGAAAAUAAAUCAGUAUUUUCUUGUCCAAUUAAUAGGAAAAUGAUAUAUGAAAUACUUUAAUUAUAUGUCAUCAGCACUGUCCCACUCUGAAAGAACCUAAGAUUUUAAAAAUACAUCCUAAUAACAUGUAUAUUGCCACUUAUCUUGGCUGUAUAUUCAAAAUGAGCUAGUUUAGAAUUAUGGUUUGUUUUUUUUUUUCAAUUGCUGUUGAUUGGUAGGGAGGCUCAAAUGCAAGGUACCAAAAUAGUUAUUUCCAAA
Long non-coding RNA from Cercocebus atys (sooty mangabey), 3193 nucleotides. RefSeq lists it as uncharacterized. NCBI's taxonomy places the organism in Eukaryota, Metazoa, Chordata, Mammalia, Primates, Cercopithecidae. The transcript has 4 exons. The record is from RefSeq and is a predicted model, not a curated record.